RNAcentral lists this ribosomal RNA (253 nucleotides) under Nitrosopumilaceae archaeon. Its description in RNAcentral is "partial 16S ribosomal RNA". It matches the Rfam family "Bacterial small subunit ribosomal RNA", at positions 524 to 776 of the family's 1533-position model. Lineage: Archaea; Thermoproteati; Nitrososphaerota; Nitrososphaeria; Nitrosopumilales; Nitrosopumilaceae. The record is from RNAcentral.
UACGAGUGCCCCGAGCGUUAUCCGGAAUCAUUGGGCGUAAAGGGUGUGUAGGUGGUUGUAUUAGUCGGCUGUCAAAGCCUGGGGCUUAACCCCAGAUCCGCGGCCGAAACGGUACGACUAGAGGGUGCGAGGGAUGUGUGGAACUCAUGGAGUAGGGGUGAAAUCCGUUGAUAUCAUGGGGAACACCGAAAGCGAAGGCAGCACAUUGGCGCAUUCCUGACACUGAAACACGAAAGCGUGGGUAGCGAAUGGG